AAGAAGAGAGAGAAGGGUUGUUGUUGAGGAACCUUCCCAUUUCCUUUUAAUCUUUCUGUUUCCUCGUCAACCCUCGCAUUUUCUCCAUUUCUUUCUUUAUUCCUUUUGUUCUGAUUUUGAUCUCGUCCUUAUGGCCACCGCCGGAAACAAAACAUCAAUGCCAAAUUGCAACUGAAGAUCUGAAACUCUCUUUUGAUCUGAAUCUGAGAUUGAAAAUUCAAAUUCAACUUCGUUCAACUGUUGAAUGCGAAUCGUUCCGAUUCUAGGUAAAGCUGUUGUUGUGCACGUUGAAGAUGGCAGAUGUUGUGGCAAAACCAGU
Molecule: long non-coding RNA, 319 nt
Organism: Pistacia vera
Lineage: Eukaryota; Viridiplantae; Streptophyta; Magnoliopsida; Sapindales; Anacardiaceae
Exons: 3
Source: RefSeq, a predicted model, not a curated record